CCUACGGGAGGCAGCAGUGAGGAAUAUUGGUCAAUGGACGAGAGUCUGAACCAGCCAAGUAGCGUGAAGGAUGACUGCCCUAUGGGUUGUAAACUUCUUUUAUAUGGGAAUAAAACGUUCCACGUGUGGGAUUUUGUAUGUACCAUAUGAAUAAGGAUCGGCUAACUCCGUUCCAGCAGCCGCGGUAAUACGGAGGGUCCGAGCGUUAUCCGGAUUUAUUGGGUUUAAAGGGAGCGUAGGUGGAUUGUUAAGUCAGUUGUGAAAGUUUGCGGCUCAACCGUAAAAUUGCAGUUGAAACUGGCAGUCUUGAGUACAGUAGAGGUGGGCGGAAUUCGUGGUGUAGCGGUGAAAUGCUUAGAUAUCACGAAGAACUCCGAUUGCGAAGGCAGUUCACUGGACUGCAACUGACACUGAGGCUCGAAAGUAUGGGUAUCAAACAGGAUUAGAUACCCCUGUAGUC
RNAcentral lists this ribosomal RNA (460 nucleotides) under uncultured bacterium. RNAcentral's name for it is "partial 16S ribosomal RNA". It matches the Rfam family "Bacterial small subunit ribosomal RNA", at positions 338 to 795 of the family's 1533-position model. The record is from RNAcentral.